This 429-nucleotide ribosomal RNA is filed under the name Pseudomonadota bacterium. Its description in RNAcentral is "Proteobacteria bacterium partial 16S ribosomal RNA". It matches the Rfam family "Bacterial small subunit ribosomal RNA", at positions 355 to 776 of the family's 1533-position model. The record is from RNAcentral. Lineage: Bacteria; Pseudomonadati; Pseudomonadota.
UGGGGAAUAUUGGACAAUGGGCGAAAGCCUGAUCCAGCCAUGCCGCGUGUGUGAAGAAGGUCUUCGGAUUGUAAAGCACUUUAAGUUGGGAGGAAGGGCAGUAAGCGAAUACCUUGCUGUUUUGACGUUACCGACAGAAUAAGCACCGGCUAACUCUGUGCCAGCAGCCGCGGUAAUACAGAGGGUGCAAGCGUUAAUCGGAAUUACUGGGCGUAAAGCGCGCGUAGGUGGUUCGUUAAGUUGAAUGUGAAAGCCCCGGGCUCAACCUGGGAACUGCAUCCGAAACUGGCGAGCGAGAGUAGGGCAGAGGGGGGUGGAAUUUCCUGUGUGGCGGUGAAAUGCGUAGAUAUAGGAAGGAAAACCAGUGGCGAAGGCGACCACCUGGGCUCAUACUGACACUGAGGUGCGAAAGCGUGGGGAGCAAACAGG